This 385-nucleotide ribosomal RNA is filed under the name uncultured bacterium. RNAcentral's name for it is "bacterial SSU rRNA". It matches the Rfam family "Bacterial small subunit ribosomal RNA", at positions 28 to 414 of the family's 1533-position model. The record is from RNAcentral.
GACGAACGCUGGCGGCGUGCUUAACACAUGCAAGUCGAGCGGUAAGGCCCUUUCGGGGGUACACGAGCGGCGAACGGGUGAGUAACACGUGGGUGACCUGCCCCCAGCUCUGGGAUAAGCCUGGGAAACUGGGUCUAAUACUGGAUAUGACUCCACGGUGCAUGUCGUGGGGUGGAAAGCCUUGUGCGGCUGAGGAUGGGCCCGCGGCCUAUCAGCUUGUUGGUGGGGNGAUGGCCUACCAAGGCGACGACGGGUAGCCGGCCUGAGAGGGCGACCGGCCACACUGGGACUGAGACACGGCCCAGACUCCUACGGGAGGCAGCAGUGGGGAAUCUUGCGCAAUGGGCGAAAGCCUGACGCAGCGACGCCGCGUGAGGGAUGACGG